Molecule: ribosomal RNA, 861 nt
Filed under: uncultured bacterium
Lineage: Bacteria
Description: bacterial SSU rRNA
Rfam family: Bacterial small subunit ribosomal RNA
Source: RNAcentral
AGAGUUUGAUCCUGGCUCAGAACGAACGCUGGCGGCAUGCCUAACAUAUGCAAGUCGAACGAAGCCUUCGGGCUUAGUGGCGCACGGGUGCGUAACGCGUGGGAAUCUGCCCUUUGGUUCGGAAUAACAGUUGGAAACGACUGCUAAUACCGGAUGAUGACGAAAGUCCAAAGAUUUAUCGCCAGAGGAUGAGCCCGCGUAGGAUUAGCUAGUUGGUGUGGUAAAGGCGCACCAAGGCGACGAUCCUUAGCUGGUCUGAGAGGAUGAUCAGCCACACUGGGACUGAGACACGGCCCAGACUCCUACGGGAGGCAGCAGUGGGGAAUAUUGGACAAUGGGCGAAAGCCUGAUCCAGCAAUGCCGCGUGAGUGAUGAAGGCCCUAGGGUUGUAAAGCUCUUUUACCCGGGAUGAUAAUGACAGUACCGGGAGAAUAAGCCCCGGCUAACUCCGUGCCAGCAGCCGCGGUAAUACGGAGGGGGCUAGUGUUGUUCGGAAUUACUGGGCGUAAAGCGCACGUAGGCGGCUUUGUAAGUUAGAGGUGAAAGCCUGGAGCUUAACUCCAGAACUGCCUUUAAGACUGCAUCGCUUGAAUCCGGGAGAGGUGAGUGGAAUUCCGAGUGUAGAGGUGAAAUUCGUAGAUAUUCGGAAGAACACCAGUGGCGAAAGCGGCUCACUGGACCGGUAUUGACGCUGAGUGCGAAAGCGUGGGGAGCAAACAGGAUAGAUACCCUGGUAGUCCACGCCGUAACGAUGAUAACUAGCUGUCCGGGGACUUGGUCUUUGGGUGGCGCAGCUAACGCAUUAAGUUAUCCGCCUGGGGAGUACGGCCGCAGGUUAAACUCAAAUGAAUUGACNGGGCC